RNAcentral lists this ribosomal RNA (412 nucleotides) under uncultured bacterium. RNAcentral's name for it is "bacterial SSU rRNA". It matches the Rfam family "Bacterial small subunit ribosomal RNA", at positions 505 to 916 of the family's 1533-position model. The record is from RNAcentral.
GUGCCAGCCGCCGCGGUAAUACGUAGGGAGCAAGCGUUGUCCGGAAUUACUGGGUGUAAAGGGAGCGUAGGCGGGAUGGCAAGUCAGGUGUGAAAACUAUGGGCUCAACUCAUAGAUUGCACUUGAAACUGUUGUUCUUGAGUGAAGUAGAGGUAAGCGGAAUUCCUGGUGUAGCGGUGAAAUGCGUAGAUAUCAGGAGGAACACCGGUGGCGAAGGCGGCUUACUGGGCUUUUACUGACGCUGAGGCUCGAAAGCGUGGGGAGCAAACAGGAUUAGAUACCCUGGUAGUCCACGCCGUAAACGAUGAUUACUAGGUGUGGGGGGACUGACCCCUUCCGUGCCGCAGUUAACACAAUAAGUAAUCCACCUGGGGAGUACGGCCGCAAGGUUGAAACUUAAAGGAAUUGACGG